AUCAGUUUAAAGCUUUGGGAUUUCCUGCUUCUCUUCCUCUGGGUGAACUCCAUGGUGCGGGCAGGAAGGAGCGGGGCGGCCGGGCGGCCAAGCCGGCGGUGGCGGCGGCAGGACCAAGGAAUGAGCGCAGGGAUGUGCCCCUUGCGUCGUUGGACCGAGGCCUGGAGGAGCGCGCUGCACCGAAGGGCGCCAAGCCUUGCCUCGCCCGCGUUAGUUACACGUGGAUCGCCCGAGCAGGGGGCAGAGGGUCCCCGUCGUCCCGAGGAGUGAGGCGGAGCCCAUCAGGCCACCCUCUGAUGGUCACCAGCAGGUCACCGUGGCCAUUCGAAUGGCCCAAACACAGCUGCAACUGGUGCUUUGAUUUAUUCACCACUUGACGCCCUCAGCCGUACUUCCAGUUCACUUACUGCACUAAACUCGUUUCUGCUGUAGCGUUUUUCUUAGAGUCAAGAAAGCUUUUGCCUGAAUUAGCUUGUGGUAUACCUUUUUUUUUUACAGUCAAGAGUGCUUUUGCCUGUUGUCUGUAGAGGAAGGACCCGGGCUUUUACAGUUAUGACUACCGAUAACUGAAAACACAGCUCCCGAUCGUCGUCUUGUGUUUUAAGCGUAGUCAGGCUGUGUUAUGACAAGGAGAAGAGUAUGUGAUACUUUCACACGCCUACUCAAACAGAUGCAAAUGCAGAUCUUCCCUUGCUCUCAACAGAGUACCCUGGAGAAUCCCGUUAGCUCCAGUAAUAUUGACUGACCCUAUCACUUGGAGUAAUGACAUAAAAUUAGUAAGAGGAAAGCCAACUGAAUAUUAACGGUAGUGAUUUAUAUCCUAACUGUGUGUGCAGACACAGCCAAACCUGAAUUCUCUUGUGCAUGGUGUAGUCCAGAUGCCAUGACAGGGAGUAUACCUGGUUCUGAAAAAGCAAAUCUGGGAAAUGGGCUUAAUGGUGAAGCAAUAUCAGAAAAUAUGCCUAAUGGUAAAAUUUAUUAGACUCUGGAAAAUUAAAUUCACGAGGGAGGUUAUGGAAACCUCACAGAUUGGGUAAGGGUGUAAUUUUCUAUUAAAUUGCUAAGUGGAAAAUCCCAGAGGCAAUCAAUAUGCUACUUUUGGAAUUUUCCUAAACUUCGCUGUAAGACUUUGUGAAAGGAAACUGGGCUAACGUACUAUUUAAAAUCCUGCAUUAUAUAUUUUUGGGAGGAUGCUGAAGCAGCAAAGGUAGAUGGAUGUCAUAUGCUAAAUUGUGUGGAUCCAAUUAAUCUCUGGUACAGCACAGUGAAGUCAGGUCUGAAACCCAGCAGCAGCAUCCCUAAUCCCUAAAUUUUGUGUACAAAAAGAGUAUUUUCUCUUCUUUCUUUUUUUUUUCCCCUCCUCGACAAGCGGUCUGCUGAUUCCUGUCUGCUAACUUUAUUUACAAGACUUAGAGCACUGCUGAAACUGUUGUGUUUGACUCUCAUCCUUCCUGGGACAAUAGGAGAAUUUUUAUAAAGCAUAAGGCCUUCAUUUACUGUUCAACUCACAUGAUGCAUUUGCCAAAGGAAUGUGCUACAAAAAUGAAAAGGUCUUUUCUGUUUUCCUCCGCUACUCAAUUUUGUGAAACAUUUUGGGGUAUAAUUUAUGAAAAAGCGAUGGCAGUGUUUUAUCAACUGCUCUUUUUUCCCUUUUAGUUCUUCUUCUCUGGGUUGGAUUUUUUUUUUGCUUAAAGGCACACUCAUGAUUUGAAAUGACAUUUCAGUCUGAACACUGCACACUGCAGUUUCAAGUAACAUGAGAGUUAGCACAUCCCCUUUUUAGUAGUGUUUCUCAUUUUGCUUCUUGUGAAUUAAAGAGAUUCGCUCUUUUCUACGUGCAGAAUGAGCCUGGUCCUGCAAGCCAACCCAAUUAUGGUUACCUACAUGAGUAAAUCUUGCAAUUUUCAUUUAUGAAAGUAUUAGCCGGUUUGAAUAUCCUGCCAUCUCAUCUGCAUAAAAGUGAAUUAGAAACUAGGACAUGGUGACUUUAGGUCAAAGUCUUCUGGUUAUCCAUACAACAUGUAGGAGGAUCCAGUAGCUGAAAGCCAAGCUUUCCUUCCCGUACGGCUAGUGUUUCUCAGCCAUGACUUAGAAAAAAACUACUUCAAGAGCUCAGAGGCUCCUGUGUACAGUGCUAGAUCAUGAGCUAACCAAUUAAAUAUAAUUAAUCUAGUAAUACCUCAGUAUUAACAGCAGCAGUGCUCUUAAGAUGUCCCAGGCUUUUUCUUUGCUUCCAGGCUCACAGGUGUGUCCAGUGAAUUACAAUAUUUUGAUUAUUAUUCAGAAAGUAGGAUGGUAUAGGACACAGAAGACUGAAGAAUCCUAGAGCAGAGCAGAAUUAUAUGGGUGUACUAAGAGCUCCUUAAGCUUUUUGGUUGGAAAAAUAAUACUGGAAGACAUCUUACAAAGUGGAUGAUUUGAUCUCAGGCUUUAAGUCUAACGCCAAGGAAUCAGUGCGAGGCCUGGUGAAGUAGGAAGAGGCUGCCAACUGUCAUAUUAGUAGCACCAUGAUGACUACUUGCCUUGGAGGCUGAAGAGGUUCCAUGCAGUAGUAGGAAGCAGGAGAAGGGUGAAGAGUUAAAUUGGACAUCAGGAGCCACAUAGGUGACAGGUUAAUAGGUUAGCUAUUUUGGUUAGUUAUGUGUAAUGAAUGUCGUUGAGGAUUUCAUGAACUGUGGAAGCGUUUUUCCCUUGCAGGUUUCCAGCAAUGUUUUUGUGGUCAUACGAAAUCCAUAGGCAGUACUUCUCAGCUCCCAGCUUGACAUUAGGUCAUGUUGGCGUCAUGCUGUCUUACUACAAACCCUGGCUUUCAGGGAGCUUUCCUCAUGUUGGCAUGUCUGAGGAGCGGGUCAUUACAGAGGGGAGUUUCUGGAUGUCCUGAAGAAGUCAGUCCGACGCAUAGGAGCGCAGUUUAACUCGAUUUCUGAUUCCACCUUAAGUUCUUUCUGUAUCAUUUUAGUCAUGGUACUUGACAUCUUAUGUCUAUCCUUACUCUUUUUACUUUGGGACACUAUUUUGAAACGGCUUCUUGUCCAUUCUGCUGCUGGUUAAUCUUCCUCAUAUAAAUUUGAAAGAAAAAAACUAUAGGACGGACCAAUGGUUUCAUCUGUUUGCCAGCUCAGGGAGACCAAAACAUUCCAGAGCUGUUUCAACAAUAAAGAAUAUAACUGAAUCUAUGUACAAAGUGUUCUUUGUGUGUGCAGUUACAAACCCUUUGUACAUUUCUGUAUCAGAAUGCAAACCCUAUUUUGACUCUAAGGCUGGGCUUUUCCUCCCCUCUGCCGUUUUGUGUAGCUUGCACUAAGACUGCAAGGAAGGGCAGCACAGUCUAAGAGUCAAAGUUUGAUGGUCAUCCACUCUGAUUAAAUACUUGUAGGAUAAUUGGAUAUUAAGGUAUUAACUCCUCCCUAGGACAAACCAGUUUUCAGGUUUGGAUUCUGGGAGGACUGGGUGGGGAGACUGAGGUGUCUAAGCAACAGAUGUGGUUGGAGGAUAAAGAACAAAAGGCCUCAACAAGGCUUGUAUGAAAGCUAAUGUGUAAGGUUAAAAAAAGUCUGACCACGUACAUGCAUGUCCCGUGCUUCUCUGCAACAUGGAGAAAUCACAAGCUGCAAAAAUUUUGCCCUGCCUCCCACUUACAGCCCGAGAUGCUUCAAGGGAACUGAGGGCAGUGUGAGUAGGGCUCGUUAUUUUGCCUAGAACUUUGGGUUUGGUGCUAUAUAAAGAGUAAUAGUGCUUAGAAAUCUUAGUCUGGAUGUGUCUUUGCAUCACUACCACCUCUGUCUAAAGAGAUGAAGUGUAAAGCCAGGCUGGCAUUCUAGGAAAGGGCAUGUUUGAGGUUUGGGUAGUUCAGGAGUCAAUGUUAAUAGCCCAAGCGCAGCUAGGGUAAGCGGUCCCAUUUCUGAUGAAGGCUAUAGGCACAAAUGGCGGCAAGCUCAGCCCAGGAUCCAGCAGCCCAGUCAGUCCCCUGCCAGGAGGAGUUCAAAGA
Molecule: non-coding RNA, 3988 nt
Organism: Phalacrocorax carbo (great cormorant)
Lineage: Eukaryota; Metazoa; Chordata; Aves; Suliformes; Phalacrocoracidae
Source: RefSeq, a predicted model, not a curated record